GGCCGCAUGGCGCAGUGGUUAAGCGCCUAGCAAACAUUAAUGUGGAAUAUUAAUGUAAUGGGUUCGAAUCCCAUUGUGGUUU
RNAcentral lists this transfer RNA (82 nucleotides) under Camillea tinctor. RNAcentral describes it as "tRNA-Ser". It matches the Rfam family "tRNA". Rfam says of the family: Transfer RNA (tRNA) molecules are approximately 80 nucleotides in length. Lineage: Eukaryota; Fungi; Ascomycota; Sordariomycetes; Xylariales; Graphostromataceae. The record is from RNAcentral.